Coprococcus eutactus CAG:665 is the source of this 110-nucleotide non-coding RNA. Lineage: Bacteria; Bacillati; Bacillota; Clostridia; Lachnospirales; Lachnospiraceae. The record is from Rfam.
GAGUGAUGAUGCGUGUGAUGUUCCGGGAAACAGUGCAUGGCUGAGCUUUAUAAGGGUUGUUUGUUUACCAAAACCCGGAUAGGCAGAGAUGCCGAAAGAAAACAUUCAGG